This 215-nucleotide non-coding RNA is filed under the name Pseudomonas sp. Lineage: Bacteria; Pseudomonadati; Pseudomonadota; Gammaproteobacteria; Pseudomonadales; Pseudomonadaceae. RNAcentral also lists the same sequence under 1 other name. The record is from RNAcentral.
GCGCGCGUUUUCCAUUCAGGUGUGCCGCCGCAAGGCGCGCAUUAAACGGGAAGCCGGUGCGUUCAAUCGAACAAUCCCGGCGCUGCCCCCGCAACGGUAAUCGACCGCGAUCCCCCGUGAUCGCCGUCCGCUCAACCGCCACUGUGUUUCGACAUGGGAAGGCGAGCGUGAUGCGAGUCGAGAGCCCGGAGACCGGCCUGAGCGGAUUCGACUGG